GGCGGGAUAGCUCAGUUGGUUAGAGCGCAGGAUUCAUAACCCUGAGGUCAACGGUUCGAUUCCGUUUUCCGCUA
RNAcentral lists this transfer RNA (74 nucleotides) under Bacteroides sp. RNAcentral describes it as "tRNA-Met". It matches the Rfam family "tRNA". From Rfam's summary of the family: Transfer RNA (tRNA) molecules are approximately 80 nucleotides in length. The record is from RNAcentral. Lineage: Bacteria; Pseudomonadati; Bacteroidota; Bacteroidia; Bacteroidales; Bacteroidaceae.